Molecule: ribosomal RNA, 736 nt
Filed under: uncultured Ascomycota
Lineage: Eukaryota; Fungi; Ascomycota
Description: eukaryotic LSU rRNA
Rfam family: Eukaryotic large subunit ribosomal RNA
Source: RNAcentral
UGGUUGACCUCGGAUCAGGUAGGGAUACCCGCUGAACUUAAGCAUAUCAAUAAGCGGAGGAAAAGAAACCAACAGGGAUUGCCUCAGUAACGGCGAGUGAAGCGGCAAAAGCUCAAAUUUGAAAUCUGGCUCUUUCAGGGUCCGAGUUGUAAUUUGUAGAAGAUGCUUCGGGUGUGGUCCCGGUCUAAGCUCCUUGGAACAGGACGUCAUAGAGGGUGAGAAUCCCGUAUGUGACUGGGUACCUACGCUCAUGUGAAGCUCUUUCGACGAGUCGAGUUGUUUGGGAAUGCAGCUCAAAAUGGGUGGUAAAUUUCAUCUAAAGCUAAAUAUUGGCCAGAGACCGAUAGCGCACAAGUAGAGUGAUCGAAAGAUGAAAAGCACUUUGGAAAGAGAGUUAAACAGUACGUGAAAUUGUUGAAAGGGAAGCGCUUGCAAUCAGACUUGCGCCUAGUUGAUCAUCCGGGCUUCUGCCCGGUGCACUCGAUUAGGCUCAGGCCAGCAUCGGUUUGGGUGGUUGGAUAAAGGCUUGGGGAACGUAGCCUCCUUCGGGGGGUGUUAUAGCCCCAGGUGCAAUGCAGCCUACCUGGACCGAGGACCGCGCUUCGGCUAGGAUGCUGGCGUAAUGGUUGUAAGCGACCCGUCUUGAAACACGGACCAAGGAGUCUAACAUUUAUGCGAGUGUUUGGGUGUUAAACCCAUACGCGUAAUGAAAGUGAACGGAGGUAAGAACCCUUAA